Long non-coding RNA from Dermochelys coriacea (leatherback sea turtle), 2989 nucleotides. RefSeq lists it as uncharacterized. Lineage: Eukaryota; Metazoa; Chordata; Testudines; Dermochelyidae. The transcript has 2 exons. The record is from RefSeq and is a predicted model, not a curated record.
UCCGCUGCCCUGGUGCCAAGUAGCCAACCCGGGGCGAGGGACGGGAACCCCAGGGAGAGGGGACGGGGUGGUGCCAAGCCGGACAGCCCCAGGGGCCCCCGCCAGCGAAAGCGUGCGGCGGGGCUGGAGCGUUGAGCAGACCGAGGGGCGGUAAAGAGGCAGGGUGGAGAGCUGCAGCCUGGAAAGCAGGUGCAUGGUGCCCACAAGGAGCCGGCAGAUAACAGACCAGAGACAACACAGAGUCCAGCCUGGGUGACUCCUUAGAGGCGGGCGGACCCUUAGUUCCCUGCUAGCUCGACUGAGAGAGCUUUUGUUCCUAACAAGAGCCAUGGAACAAAUGGUUUUCCCAACCCCUGGAAAAAUCAACAAGAAAUAUGCUCCUCCCAGAAGUAGUUGCAGUUGGAAGCAUACCACAGAAGAAACAGAACUCACGUACCAAGUCAUCUAACAAUGCAAAUGGAAAGAAAGACUUUUAUAUUAUGCCAGAUGAAAGAGAUGGACAAGGCACACUUUAAAAGACCACAGUACAGAGACAGGAGGUGGGACUAAACAGAGUACCUAUUCAAGUUGUACAUGGAACCACAGUCACUUGCAUGAUAACCUACUGUACAGUUUUACAGCAAGGAUGAUGGUGAUGGAUAUAUGUAACAAAAUAAGAAAUACACAUAAUUAAACAACCCCCUAUCAUAGAUAUUAUAAUAAAAUCACACUACAUUGAAAUAAUAACCCUGAUCAAAAAGCAAUGCAAUAAGUUGUAGCUAUCUACAGUCUAUAAAAUAGGGUCCAAAGCCCACGCAGUGAAAUUCAAAGAAUAGCAAACUACUGAAACUGUAAAAGUAUUCACAAAAUAAAUGAGUAUAUGUAAAGCUAAAUAGAUAACUUUUUCCCAUGAUUCAUUGGGGGAAAGACUAUACUGACUUGAUAGACUUGAAAGCAACAAGUUUGCACAAACUAUGAGAGAACAGGAAAAUUAAACUCAUAUAUUGAUAAAGUGCACAAGUUUAGACAUACUGUAAAUGAAAGAAAAGCUAUAUUAGAAGCAGAAGAAAAAGUUUAAUUGAUGCAUGAAAAUAAUGUACCCGAAUUGGAGAAACAGUACUUCAGAUAACAAAUUGGGGGAAAAAAUGUAUUAAAAAAGGGGCAGAGAAGCUGUAAUAACUUUUCUAAGUUUACUUUUUAAAGUAGGCAACAGGGAGCGAAUAAUUAUAACAUAUAAAAUGCAAACUACAAUAAUAUAAUUUCUGAACAAAGAAAAUACAAAUCGAUAAAUGCUGUGAACGUAAACAUAUACAUUACUAUAACAGAAGCAGAGCAUCAAAAGUAGGCAAGCUGACAUCUACCGAAAUAAGUGCAAGCAACAUACAGGGCAUGAAGGGAAAAGAAAAUGAUAAUAGGGUGAAAUGCAUAAAAUAUUUAUCAUUCAGCAAUGCACAAAAAUAGAUUAUAAUCACAGAAGCAGAGAAAUGCAAUGCUUGAAAAUGAAUGUAUUAUAUAAUAUUCAAAGAUGUGAAAGUGGAAUACUUGUGAAACACAGUUGUAAACAUUGUAUGCGUUUCAUAAGGUUAUUAAAAUUAUUACUGAGUGCAUACUGGAAAAAAAAGGAAAACAACAAGAAUCAUGCUUUACAAAGAAAAAAAGAGAAAAUGUAGAUGACACUUUCUAUAAUAGAUGAUCAAGGGAUAACUAUCUUUAAGGUUGUUUAUUUAGAAACUGAUCUUUUCCCACCAGAUCGUUUGCAUUUUAUUUAAUCAUUCAAAGAUGAAAUCUUUACCCAAAACAUUCUAACACUUUAAAAAUCUGAUUUAAAUAGUUGAACCUAAACUUUGUGGAAAUAGUGGAGAACGUCUACACUGGAUUAGUUCUCACCUUUUCAAAAUAGCCUUUGAGGCACUAAAGUUUAGGAGAUGAAAAAAGACUGACCACUGGAGUAGACUAAAGAAAAGAGGAAGAUGCUGAAAAAUGAGAACUUCAAGCGACAUCACAUGUACCUGUUGCUUGCAGUAUGAUCAAGAAUAAGGAAAGUGCAGCACUUAGGGAAAGAGAGGUGCAGUUUAACAAACAGCUAUUAAAAAUCCUUGCAACAAGGAUUAUGGCUAUAACACCUUGAAAAUUGAUCACCAGAUAAUAUUAAGACAAAAUUAAAAUCUGUGUUUUACAUUUGCCUCACUAUUACAAUACAUAUGUGAAAAAGAAUUUAAAAUGCUCAAGUUAAAAAACAAAAAAAAAUGAUUCAUCCUAAAGCACCAAGAGUAAAUUAAAAGAUUGGAGAGAUAAAAAUCUGAUAAUAUUUGAGCACAGAGGCCUAAAUGAUAUUGUUAUGGACACUUACCAAACUCUGACAAAUACUCUGUUGAUUAUAUGAUCAUGCAUAUGCGUCUUGGGCUUGAGAUAAAUGGUUAUGAAAAAUAACUGCUCUGAAAUUGCAUAUAUGUCCAUAUACCCUAUAAAGCCACACCACACUAAUAAAUUUCAUUACUGAAUAUCACCUACCCCUGUUAAUGUACUUAUUGCAGGCUCUGAACAUUGACUAGUGUAAAACUUUGCUUAGAAUGGAAAGCAAAAAUUGAGACAGUUAUUCCUAUAUUUGCAUAUCAGAAUAAUUAAACUUCUCAUCAAUAAUAGCAAACUCGGUUGAAAUUUCAUUUGACUGGUUUAUGAUACUGAUAUCAGAUUUUUGUAGUGAAAGGCAAAAAAUGCUAACAUUUUGUAAAAGUGUGUAAUUGUAGACUGACCAUUAUGCCAAUAGAUGCUCAAGUAUACCAACUUUUUAAUAUUAUAAUGUCCCGGUGGAAGAUGUUUUUUUUUAUUUAUUAAAAGGAAAGAGAUGUAUAGAUAAAGAAACAGAAGCUAUGUAAAUACCCUGGAAUGUAUGCAGUCAUUAGUUUAAAUAUCUGAUAACUGCACUUUUCAAAUUAGUUGUAUGUCAAGUGAAGCCAAAUACUUAUAUUAAAGCUGCUUCAUUAUAGUAAUCAGAAAUAAAUAUUUUGAA